Molecule: long non-coding RNA, 940 nt
Filed under: Homo sapiens (human)
Lineage: Eukaryota; Metazoa; Chordata; Mammalia; Primates; Hominidae
Description: non-protein coding lnc-DTX1-1:1
Source: RNAcentral
GCACGGCCGAGGCCUCCUCCCACCCGCGAGAUCCCGGCGGCCGCCAGCCGGCUCCUGCGUCCGUCCGUCGGCCGGGCAGUCUGUCCACGCGCGGAAAGCUCGGCGCGGCGGCCGAGGGGCCUGGGAGGGAACGGGCGCGGAGGCGGGACCGCGGCUCCCUCCCACUCCGGGGGGAGCCCAGGAGGCGGCGGUGCUGGAGCGCGAGCCGGAGCCGGAGCCGGAGACGAAGAGAGGCGGUCGCGAGCACGAGUGGGGUGGGGCGUGCCCACGGGCCCCCGCCCCCCUCGUCCCCCUCGUCCCCCAGCCCAGCUCCGGAGCCGCAGUCCAGGCGCGCCGCCCGAGGGUCCACGCCGCACCCCUCCCCCGUGCGUUCUGCGGCCACCCAGGCCUUCCAGGACACCGUGGAGAGGGAACAAGGGGGCAGGGACGCCCCCUUCGGCAGGAGCCGUCGGAGAAGGGGGCCCAGACCGGAGGGAGGCGAGAAGCCCCACUGAAGCCGGGCGCAGGGUCUGGGACGCAGUUGGGAGUGCAAAGGGCUGGCUGAGAGCCGCAGGAGCAGCAGGCUGUGGCCCAGGCCUCCUGGGUGACAGGCCCUGUCUGGCGGGGAAGAGGGACCAAGAGACAACACGGAAGAGGCUGGACCUCGAACAGGGGCGGCUGCCUCACUCCCUACCUGAGCCAGCCGAGGGGGCCAAGGACUUUAGAGCUGUUUCCUCCGGCAUAAGAGAGACACUUGCUUUCCAGGGCAGCACCCUUUAUCGGAGAAGGCUCUACAGGGAAGGGGUCUUUGCAGCCUGGAUGGCCAUCCCACAUUCCUUUAACGGAGGUCUCUAGGCCUCAGAGAGAACCCAGAGUUAGAAAGGAGGCCAGACGGUCCUUGCUGUCCCCCUGGGGAGAGAGGAAGUUGCCGCCUGCUGCCAGGCCCAGGAGGAGCUGGGCC